RNAcentral lists this long non-coding RNA (203 nucleotides) under Panax ginseng (ginseng). RNAcentral's name for it is "long non-coding RNA (PGIN_LNC008123)". Lineage: Eukaryota; Viridiplantae; Streptophyta; Magnoliopsida; Apiales; Araliaceae. The record is from RNAcentral.
AAAAUCACAGAAUUCGGUUUUUCCAACUUGCUCAAAUCUUCAAAUUCGUGCACUUUGAUGUUAUGGGUCUGUGUUUUUACAACCCAGAACAUUAAUAGACUCCCUAUUACACUACUUUAAACAAUCAAUUGCAUCAAUUAACAUCGAAUCGAAGGAUUUCAAAAUUAGGGAAUUUCAUACCUUUUCUAGCUUCGAUUUUUGAU